GGUGUCUUAAGUAAUGUAAGGCAUCCUGGUACACUAUAUUGCACUGUCAGGUACUUCUGCUCUCCGUUGGUUGUGGGUUUAGAGGGAACAGGGCUGGCAUGUGCUAAAAUACUUACCAGCCAUAGACUCCAUAUACAGAUAAUGAAUGUUGACCCCACUAUGACGUGUUAUCUUUUCCCAAAGCUCAAUAACUGAAUAAAGGCUCUAAAUUUUGCAGGGUAAAGAUAUCCCCUCUGUAGUUUGAAGUGGGAGGGCUGCUGUCAUGGAACACAUCUGUCUGUAACUGUAUUUAUUUGUUUUGAACUUUUAAAACUUACUUGUAUAUUCCAACUUUCUCUUUGUGCUACUACAGCCAAAAGAGUAAGCCCAGAAUCUUUUCUUUAAAUAAGAAAAUGUUUUAAAUAAGAUAUGUGAAUAAAAAAAUUUUCAAUAAGAAAAUAUGUGUUUGGUUAUUUACUGCUUUCAAAUCAGUGGACAAACAAUAACAGUUUUACUUAUAUAUUUCUUGAAAUGAACUGAUUUGUAUUGAAUUCUGAGAAAAAUAUGUGAUUUUUCCAGACUUGGGAGUAUCUGAUGGCUGCCUAAUAAAUUUAACAGCUACGCCUGCAAGCUCUGUCCUAGAUCCCACGUUAUUCUCCUGGGACAUUGGACAGAUCUUACUUCAAAAGAGAGCUGAAAAGGAAGAGGAACUGAAAAAAGCAUUUCAGAUGCUUGAUGUUGGUUGGACCCUGACAGUCACAAAGGGUGAAUUCAGGAGAGUGAUUGGAACCUUUCUCUUCCAUCUAACAGAAGCUGAAUUUGAUGCUGUGCUGGCAGAGGUUGAACAGCCAGAGUCGCCAAACAAUGACAUUAAGUCAGCUGGAAACCCUGCUCAAAGAGAAGCACUAAUCUGCCAGAAAAUAAAAGAGAAGGAACAGAAGCAGAAAAAACUUUUUCUCCAGUCUUCACCAGCAAACGUUUUCCUACAGCCAUCACCAGCUGAGCGUGCUGUGACAGAGCACGGUCUGGAUAGCACCGAGAGGCAUUUAGAGAAAAGCUGUGUUCAGCCUAUGAGGACAUUGAAAAAGCCUUCAGAGCAAUUGAUGUCAGUCAGAGUGGAUUUGUGUCUUUGGAUUACUUGA
RNAcentral lists this long non-coding RNA (1121 nucleotides) under Calidris pugnax (ruff). Its description in RNAcentral is "lncRNA (ENSCPUG00000007381.1)". The record is from RNAcentral. Lineage: Eukaryota; Metazoa; Chordata; Aves; Charadriiformes; Scolopacidae.